This 1377-nucleotide ribosomal RNA is filed under the name Clostridioides difficile. Its description in RNAcentral is "partial 23S ribosomal RNA". It matches the Rfam family "Bacterial large subunit ribosomal RNA", at positions 1517 to 2907 of the family's 2925-position model. The record is from RNAcentral. Lineage: Bacteria; Bacillati; Bacillota; Clostridia; Peptostreptococcales; Peptostreptococcaceae.
CAUUGAGGCAGUCAAAGCAGGCAAAUCCGCUUUGAUAAUGCUGGGAUGUGAUGGGGAGCGAAAUUUAGUAGCGAAGUAGCUGAUUUCACACUGUCAAGAAAAGUCUCUAUCGAGGUUAAAGGUACCCGUACCGCAAACCGACACAGGUGGGUGAGGAGAGUAUCCUAAGGCCAGCGAGAGAACUGUUGUUAAGGAACUCGGCAAAAUGACCCCGUAACUUAGGGAUAAGGGGUGCCACCAUCCGGUGGCCGCAGAGAAUAGGCCCAAGCGACUGUUUACCAAAAACAUAGGUUUCUGCUAAGUCGCAAGACGAUGUAUAGGAGCUGACGCCUGCCCGGUGCUGGAAGGUUAAGGGGAUCUGUUAGAGCAAUCGAAGCAGUGAACUUAAGCCCCAGUAAACGGCGGCCGUAACUAUAACGGUCCUAAGGUAGCGAAAUUCCUUGUCGGGUAAGUUCCGACCCGCACGAAAGGCGUAACGAUUUGGGCACUGUCUCAACAACAGACUCGGUGAAAUUGUAAUUCCGGUGAAGAUGCCGGAUACCUGCGACAGGACGGAAAGACCCCAUGGAGCUUUACUGUAGCUUGACAUUGGGUCUUGGUACUACAUGUACAGGAUAGGUGGGAGGCUUUGAAACCAGGACGCCAGUUUUGGCGGAGCCAUCCUUGGGAUACCACCCUUGUAGUACUGGGACUCUAACCAUAGGCCAUGAAUCUGGUCUUGGGACACUGUCAGGUGGGCAGUUUGACUGGGGCGGUCGCCUCCCAAAAGGUAACGGAGGCGCUCAAAGGUUCUCUCAGUACGGUCGGAAAUCGUACGUAGAGUGUAAAGGCAAAAGAGAGCUUGAUUGCAAGACAUACAGGUCGAGCAAGGAUGAAAAUCGGACUUAGUGAUCCGGUGGUUCUGCGUGGAAGGGCCAUCGCUCAACGGAUAAAAGCUACCCUGGGGAUAACAGGCUUAUCUCCCCCAAGAGUCCACAUCGACGGGGAGGUUUGGCACCUCGAUGUCGGCUCAUCACAUCCUGGGGCUGUAGUAGGUCCCAAGGGUUGGGCUGUUCGCCCAUUAAAGUGGUACGCGAGCUGGGUUCAGAACGUCGUGAGACAGUUCGGUCCCUAUCCGUCGCAGGCGUAGGAAAUUUGAGAAGACCUGUCCUUAGUACGAGAGGACCGGGAUGGACGUACCUCUGGUGUACCAGUUGUUCUGCCAAGGGCAUGGCUGGGUAGCUAUGUACGGAAUGGAUAAGCGCUGAAAGCAUCUAAGCGCGAAGCCAACUUCAAGAUAAGAUUUCCCACCGCAAGGGUAAGACCCCAGAAAGACUAUCUGGUUGAUAGGUCGAAGGUGUAAGUGCAGCAAUGUAUUUAGCUUAUCGAUACUAAUAG